AAAAAUCACCGAAGAUAAGAUAACAAGGCAAAAGAGAGUGAAAAGGGGUCAUAAGCAUACAAAAUUGUGAAGUUGGGACCCAUGCACAAGUGCCAAAAGUUGAGGACCUUGGGCUGCAAUUUAUGGAGGGCUAAAUUGAUAUAAAAGUCGAAAUUUGAGGAUCAAAUUGUAUAAGAUCAAAGUAGAGAGACCUAACGUGCAAUUAUUUGGGAACUUGGAUGCUAAAAAAAAAAAAAAAAAAAAAACAACAUAAGCAUACAAAAUUGUGAAGUUGGGACCCAUGCACAAGUGCCAAAAGUUGAGGACCUUGGGCUGCAAUUUAUGGAGGGCUAAAUUGAUAUAAAAGUCGAAAUUUGAGGAUCAAAUUGUAUAAGAUCAAAGUAGAGAGACCUAACGUGCAAUUAUUUGGGAACUUGGAUGCUAAAAAAAAAAAAAAAAAAAACCAAUUAUUGGUUUUGGACACAGCCACAGCGCCGAGGCGCCACCUUUAAAUACUAAAGAAAGCUCGGGGAUCGUCCUGCUCAGCUUCUGAAACUUCAGGGACCAACGCUGCAAUAUCUGAAUAGGGUUUAUAAUUGUAAAUAAAAGGGCCACUGGGGGAGUUACUAAUUUUCGGCUGGUUCCGUCGUUUGCUUCUUUUUCUUUUUCUUUCAUCUUUCAUUUUCUUUCUUCUUUUCUCU
Molecule: long non-coding RNA, 680 nt
Filed under: Olea europaea (common olive)
Lineage: Eukaryota; Viridiplantae; Streptophyta; Magnoliopsida; Lamiales; Oleaceae
Description: long non-coding RNA (OEUR_LNC001808)
Source: RNAcentral